GAUGAACGCUGGCGGCGUGCCUAAUACAUGCAAGUCGAGCGAACGGACGAGAAGCUUGCUUUUCUGAUGUUAGCGGCGGACGGGUGAGUAACACGUGGAUAACCUACCUAUAAGACUGGGAUAACUUCGGGAAACCGGAGCUAAUACCGGAUAAUAUUUUGAACCGCAUGGUUCAAAAGUGAAAGACGGUCUUGCUGUCACUUAUAGAUGGAUCCGCGCUGCAUUAGCUAGUUGGUAAGGUAACGGCUUACCAAGGCAACGAUGCAUAGCCGACCUGAGAGGGUGAUCGGCCACACUGGAGCUGAGACACGGUCCAGACCCCGACGGGAGGCAGCAGUGGGGAAUCUUCCGCAAUGGGCGAAAGCCUGACGGAGCAACGCCGCGUGAGUGAUGAAGGUCUUCGGAUCGUAAAACUCUGUUAUUAGGGAAGAACAUAUGUGUAAGUAACUGUGCACAUCUUGACGGUACCUAAUCAGAAAGCCACGGCUAACUACGU
This 496-nucleotide ribosomal RNA is filed under the name uncultured bacterium. RNAcentral describes it as "partial 16S ribosomal RNA". It matches the Rfam family "Bacterial small subunit ribosomal RNA", at positions 28 to 506 of the family's 1533-position model. The record is from RNAcentral.